AUUGAACGCUAGCGGGAUGCUUUACACAUGCAAGUCGAACGAGUGGCGGACGGGUGAGUAAUGUAUGGGGACUGCCCGAUAGAGGGGGAUAACUACUGGAAACGGUAGCUAAUACCGCAUACUAUCGGAUAACCCAUAUGGGAGUAGCUAGUAGGUGAGGUAAUGGCUCACCUAGGCGACGAUCCCUAGCUGGUCUGAGAGGAUGAUUAGUCACACUGGUAAUGAGAUAAGGCCUAGACUCCGACGGAGGCAGCAGUGGGGAAUAUUGGACAAUGGGCGCAAGCCUGAUGCAGCCAUGCCGCGUGUAUGAAGAAGGCCCUAGGGUUGUAAAGUACUUUCAGUCGGGAGGCGUUACCGACAGAAGAAGCACCGGCUAACUCCGUGCCAGCCGCCGCGGUAAUUC
Molecule: ribosomal RNA, 403 nt
Filed under: uncultured bacterium
Lineage: Bacteria
Description: partial 16S ribosomal RNA
Rfam family: Bacterial small subunit ribosomal RNA
Source: RNAcentral